Non-coding RNA from Oryctolagus cuniculus (rabbit), 522 nucleotides. Lineage: Eukaryota; Metazoa; Chordata; Mammalia; Lagomorpha; Leporidae. The record is from RefSeq and is a predicted model, not a curated record.
UGGUUCCUAAGAAGGUAAAACCAAGAUAAGAAAAAAGCCACAUGAGACCACACAUCUUAUGACUUACAACUCAACUAAAAUUACUUCCUUUUUGGUUCUUGUCUACUUUGCACAUCUUACAUAAGUAUAGGGGGAAGAAUGAGUUAGAAAAAUGCUGUUUCAUCUGCAAAGCCAGAGAUACAGGCUCCUGGGAUAGCAGGAUGGAUUGGGGGCAAAUUCCUGUUCACUCAAGCAACAUCUUUUCUCUUUGAAGCAUCCUGUUAUUAACUGCCUUCAAGCUGCUCUCUGCUAAGGCUGGACUAUUUUUACUACCACCAAUAACAGGUUAUUUUUAUCUUCUGGAUUGACACAGAACUUUUGAAAAGGAAGUUUGUGGUCCCAAUCCAUCUGAGCUGGAGAUAACCCACCUACAGAGAAUAAAGGGAAGACAAAACAGAGGUUGGGGAAUCAGAGAAGAAACUGAUGAUGUAUCUUUUCACCCUACAGCAGCAGAGGGAGAAAACUUCUGCCCUUAGAACAAGU